This 1035-nucleotide ribosomal RNA is filed under the name Giardia duodenalis ATCC 50581. RNAcentral describes it as "SSU rRNA". It matches the Rfam family "Eukaryotic small subunit ribosomal RNA", at positions 533 to 1823 of the family's 1831-position model. Lineage: Eukaryota; Fornicata; Diplomonadida; Hexamitidae. The record is from RNAcentral.
GUCGCGGACGGAGUAGCCGAGGGCAAGGUCUGGUGCCAGCAGCCGCGGUAAUUCCAGCUCGGCGGGCGUCGCGUGGCGCUGCUGCAGUUAAAACGCCCGUAGUUGGCCCCCCGCCGCCACGAGGAAACGGGAGCGCUCCAGGCAGGCCCGUUGGACCCGCCGCGUGGGACCGCGCAGCGGGCGCGGCGCGCCGCGGCAGCCCCGAGGAGAGCGGGCGGGGGCACCGGUACCGGCCGGGGACGGGUGAAACAGGAUGAUCCCGCCGAGACCGCCGGCCGCGCAGGCGCCUGCCAAGACCGCCUCUGUCAAUCAAGGGCGAAGGCCGGGGGCUAGAAGGCGAUCAGACACCACCGUAUUCCCGGCCGUAAACGGUGCCGCCCCGCGGCCGGCGCGCGCGUCCCGCCGGCCGCCCAGGGAAACCGGGAGGCUCCGGGCUCUGGGGGGAGUAUGGCCGCAAGGCUGAAACUUGAAGGCAUUGACGGAGGGGUACCACCAGACGUGGAGUCUGCGGCUCAAUCUGACUCAACGCGCGCACCUCACCAGGCCCGGACGCGCGGAGGACCGACAGCCGGGCGCGCUUUCGCGAUCGCGCGGGCGGUGGUGCAUGGCCGCUCCCAGCCCGUGGCGCGAGCCGUCUGCUCCAUUGCGACAACGAGCGAGACCCCGGCCGCGGGCGCCGCGGGACGGCCCGCGCGAGCGGGAGGACGGCGGGGCGAUAGCAGGUCUGUGAUGCCCUCAGACGCCCUGGGCCGCACGCGCGCUACACUGGCGGGGCCAGCCGGCGCCCGCGAGGACGCGCGGAGCCCCCGCCGUGGCCGGGACCGCGGGCUGGAACGCCCCCGCGCACCAGGAAUGUCUUGUAGGCGCGCGCCCCCACCGCGCGCCGGACGCGUCCCUGCCCCUUGUACACACCGCCCGUCGCUCCUACCGACUGGGCGCGGCGGCGAGCGCCCCGGACGCGCGAAGGGCCGCGAGCCCCCGCGCCUGGAGGAAGGAGAAGUCGUAACAAGGUAUCCGUAGGUGAACCUGCGGAUG